Molecule: long non-coding RNA, 385 nt
Filed under: Heterocephalus glaber (naked mole-rat)
Lineage: Eukaryota; Metazoa; Chordata; Mammalia; Rodentia; Bathyergidae
Description: lncRNA (ENSHGLG00000039491.1)
Source: RNAcentral
GCCAGAGAUGGUCCGAGCCUGUCUCAUUCCGAGUCCAGGGUGUCCACCCUCACCGGACGCUUUCCUUUAGCUUUCGGACACUUUCUCCUGGUGGUUGGGGUCAAGAUCCAGAGACUCCAUUUGAGAGAGAGUUUUCCAGCAAGCUAUAAAUAGGCAAAACUAUGAGAGUGGUCUGUGGAGCUUUACAGUUGGACCCUGGCUCCAGGAAUGUGUCUGACUUUGGCAUUAGCUUCGGAUAAACCAGAAAUCCUGCCUGCUGUGCCCUCUCCUUACUGCCCACCUGGACAACCCCUGCUGCUCCCUGAGUCUAAGCUUAAAGUCACCUCCUCCAUGAUGUCUUCCUGUCUGUCCUGGACAAUGGACUCCUUUCUCAUCCACGUCUCAC